UUCACCGCUUUAUUGCAUUGAAAACUAAGCUUAUUUUACAUGGUUUUCAAGUUGAAGAAUAUGCAUGAUUAAAGUUUUAUACGAAAAAUGUUUUAUGUCUCUGUGUGUAUUGUAGGUAAAAAACAUGGAAAGUCUUUUGUCCUUUUCUGUUAAUGUUUGGGUGUUAUUUCAGUGACAGGUUUUGAUGGGUUUUCAGGCGGUGACGAUCGGAUGGAGCGGGGAUCUGGUGUUGAGAAACUUGAGGAUGAGAGGAGAGUGAGAAUUGAGUCGUUACAAAAGAAAGCUCUCGAUACUUGCAGCGCACUUCUUUCCUUCUGUUUUGCACUUGCCCAAUCAUGAUAUAACUAUCUCAAGAAGGAUUUAUUUUUAUUUGCAUUAUGUUCUACGUCUUCCAGUUUCCUACUAAGCCUCGGCUUUCUCUUAUUUGUGUAUUUUUGUAGGCUAGGUUUGCAUGCAUUUCGCUGUGCUUUGCAUCGAGCAGUUGGUGUAGGCUAUGGAUUCCUGCCUGUUCUUGGUUUCACUCCCGUCCAGUGAACUCAAACCUGUUGUUGAUGAUCAAGCUAGCAUGGAAUCUGACGGUGAUUGAUACCAAGAGCAUGCUUUGCCAGAUAGGGAUGUUGAAUGGCCUCCAACAACAAAGAGAAGUGGGAAUCUCAUUGGCAAUCUUGGCAGAAGUAACUGACUCACAAUCCAAAAACUCAACAUGUAUAUUUUCCUUCUUUUUUGAAUUGAUUUGGUUUGAGUUGAUCUAUUUUACUUGGGUCCUUGGGCUUGACAAUCCAUCUUGAGAGAUGGUUCAGUUUGGAAAUAGUGGUUUUAUGUCGGGAAUUAGGACUUGCUCUGUGACUGGUGCCGGAGACUGUCUCCUGAUAUGGUUCCUAUGCAUAGCUCUUCUGUGCGAGGGAUGCAAGAUGAGUUGCAUGCUGUAUUUUUUUUGUAAAUAAAUUCAUGAUUUGUCAUUGGGUUCUUCUUACUAGUCUGUUGUCUCUACAUUCUUCUUAUCGUGUGGCUAUUCUUAAUAAAAAAAUCAAAGGUUUGAAGAAGCACCA
This is a long non-coding RNA of Populus euphratica (Euphrates poplar), 1049 nucleotides long. RefSeq lists it as uncharacterized. Lineage: Eukaryota; Viridiplantae; Streptophyta; Magnoliopsida; Malpighiales; Salicaceae. The record is from RefSeq and is a predicted model, not a curated record. The transcript is spliced from 2 exons.